This 486-nucleotide ribosomal RNA is filed under the name uncultured bacterium. Its description in RNAcentral is "partial 16S ribosomal RNA". It matches the Rfam family "Bacterial small subunit ribosomal RNA", at positions 30 to 507 of the family's 1533-position model. The record is from RNAcentral.
AUUGAACGCUGGCGGCAUGCCUUACACAUGCAAGUCGAACGGCAGCACGGGUGCUUGCACCUGGUGGCGAGUGGCGAACGGGUGAGUAAUACAUCGGAACAUGUCCUGUAGUGGGGGAUAGCCCGGCGAAAGCCGGAUUAAUACCGCAUACGAUCUACGGAUGAAAUCGGGGGACCUUCGGGCCUCGCGCUAUAGGGUUGGCCGAUGGCUGAUUAGCUAGUUGGUGGGGUAAAGGCCUACCAAGGCGACGAUCAGUAGCUGGUCUGAGAGGACGACCAGCAACACUGGGACUGAGACACGGACCAGACUCCUACGGGAGGCAGCAGUGGGGAAUUUUGGACAAAGGGCGAAAGCCUGAUCCAGCAAUGCCGCGUGUGUGAAGAAGGCCUUCGGGUUGUAAAGCACUUUUGUCCGGAAAGAAAUCCUUGGCCCUAAUACGGUCGGGGGAUGACGGUACCGGAAGAAUAAGCACCGGCUAACUACGUG